RNAcentral lists this transfer RNA (73 nucleotides) under Pseudomonadota bacterium. RNAcentral's name for it is "tRNA-Arg". It matches the Rfam family "tRNA". Rfam says of the family: Transfer RNA (tRNA) molecules are approximately 80 nucleotides in length. Their secondary structure includes four short double-helical elements and three loops (D, anti-codon, and T loops). Lineage: Bacteria; Pseudomonadati; Pseudomonadota. The record is from RNAcentral. RNAcentral also lists the same sequence under 2 other names.
GCCCCCGUAGCUCAGUGGAUAGAGCAGCGGUUUCCUAAACCGUUGGUCGGACGUUCGAAUCGUCUCGGGGGCG